RNAcentral lists this ribosomal RNA (279 nucleotides) under uncultured bacterium. RNAcentral's name for it is "partial 16S ribosomal RNA". It matches the Rfam family "Bacterial small subunit ribosomal RNA", at positions 506 to 784 of the family's 1533-position model. The record is from RNAcentral.
UGCCAGCCGCCGCGGUAAUACGGAGACCUCGAGCGUUACUCGGAAUUACUGGGCGUAAAGCGUGCGUAGGCGGAUCGACAAGUUGGGGGUGAAAUCCCGGGGCUUAACCCCGGAACUGCCUUUAAAACUGGUAAGCUAGAGGAUGUGAGAGGUGAGUGGAAUUCCGAGUGUAGAGGUGAAAUUCGUAGAUAUUCGGAAGAACACCAGUGGCGAAGGCGACUCACUGGCACAUUUCUGACGCUGAGGCGCGAAAGCGUGGGGAGCAAACAGGAUUAGAUA